GAUGAAGAACGUAGCGAAAUGCGAUAAGUAAUGUGAAUUGCAGAAUUCAGUGAAUCAUCGAAUCUUUGAACGCACCUUGCGCCCUUUGGCCAUUCCGAAGGGCAUGCCUGUUUGAGUAUCAUGAACACCUCAACUCUUUAUGGUUUUCCAUGAUGAGCUUGGACUUUGGGGGUUUUGCUGGCCUAUGGUCGGCUCCUCUAAAAUAAAUCAGCUUACCGGUGUUUGGUGGGUAUCAUGGGUGUGAUAACUAUCUACGCUUGUGGUUUUUCCACCAGGUAACCUUCGACAGCGGAGGUUCACUGGAGCUCAUAGAUGUCUCUCCUCAGCGAGGACAGCUCUUUUUGAACGUUUGAUCUCAAAUCAGGUAGGACUACCCGCUGAACUUAAGCAUAUCAAUAAGCGGAGGA
RNAcentral lists this unclassified non-coding RNA (407 nucleotides) under soil metagenome. Its description in RNAcentral is "partial contains 5.8S ribosomal RNA, internal transcribed spacer 2, and large subunit ribosomal RNA". The stretch from base 1 to 121 matches the Rfam family "5.8S ribosomal RNA", at positions 35 to 154 of the family's 154-position model. The record is from RNAcentral.